CAGCUUUACAAAAAACAACACACAGAAGCUGAGAUGGUGUCGGUUUUAUUCAAUUCCACUGAGGCUGACUGGAGUUUGUACUGUAUGUGUAGUGGUGUGUGGGUAAAAUCACUAGGAAAGCACCCCCCACAAAAAGGCAGAUUUAAACCUGUGUUGUGAUAAUUGUGAUGUUUGCUCUAUAACAUAUAUACAUUAACCUUGAGACUGUGAUAUAUAAUCAUGGACGGAGACACAUUUAGAAAGAUCCUGUCGUACUGCAUUUUAUUAUUGUAUACAAAGAAAAACAAGACACGUGUAUAAAUGCAUUGCUUCAAAACUACUCUUAGUAGCCUCAGUAAGAAGACACUUAUCCACAGCAAAAUAUUACAACCCCUUUUUUAAAGAAACAUAGCAUUUGAAAUAAAUACGUUUGGAUGAUAACAUCUUGCUGAUUGCAUUGGGGGCAAUGCACUUUCACACUAUUUACACUUUAAAUCUGACUAAAUAAUCAUCACCGUCUCACAGACCCUCAGUGCUCACAGAAACUGUUGCCCUUUACAUUCAAACCUCAUCCCUUCAUCGUCACAUUCUAUUUUUAAAUGUGCUUUUGUCAAGGAACCAAAAGUGAAAACUACACAUUUUUCCCAUUACCAGAAUAUACAGUGUACUGUAUACUAUAUAAAGACAGGACAAUGUACCAGAUAUAACUUGGUGUCAAACAGAAGACAUGCAAGCACUCAAUAAAGUGAAGAAUAUGAAUGUGACCAACAUGUCCCUCUUGAAGGUGACAUAAAGUAGACUAUACAGGUUACAUAAAGUAGACUAUACAGGUUACAUAAAGUAGACGAUACAGGUUACAUAAAGUAGACUAUAGAGGUCACAUAAAGUAGACUAUAGAGGUCACAUAAAGUAGACUAUACAGGUUACAUAAAGUAGACUAUACAGGUUACAUAAAGUAGACGAUACAGGUUACAUAAAGUAGACUAUAGAGGUCACAUAAAGUAGACUAUAGAGGUCACAUAAAGUAGACUAUACAGGUUACAUAGAGUAGACUAUACAGGUUACAUAAAGUAGACGAUACAGGUCACAUAAAGUAGACUAUACAGGUUACAUAAAGUAGACUAUACAGGUUACAUAAAGUAGACUAUACAGGUUACAUAAAGUAGACUAUACAGGCUACAUAGAGUAGACUAGACAGGUUACAUAAAGUAGACUAUACAGGUUACAUAAAGUAGACUACACAGGCUACAUAAAGUAGACUGUACAGGUUACAUAAAGUAGACGGUACAGGUUACAUAGAUUAGAUUAUACAGGUUACAUAAAGUAGACUAUACAGGUUACAUAAAGUAGACUAUACAGGUUACAUAAAGUAGACUAUACAGGUUACAUAGAGUAGACUAUACAGGUUACAUAAAGUAGACUAUACAGGUUACAUAAAGUAGACUAUACAGGUUACAUAGAGUAGACUAUACAGGUUACAUAAAGUAGACUAUACAGGUUACAUAAAGUAGACUAUACAGGUUACAUAGAGUAGACUAUACAGGUUACAUAAAGUAGACUAUACAGUUUACAUAAAGUAGACUAUACAGGUUACAUAAAGUAGACUAUACAGGUUACAUAGAGUAGACUAUACAGGUUACAUAAAGUAGACUAUACAGGUUACAUAGAGUAGACUAUACAGGUUACAUAAAGUAGACUAUACAGGUUACAUAAAGUAGACUAUACAGGUUACAUAGAGUAGACUAUACAGGUUACAUAAAGUAGACUAUACAGGUUACAUAAAGUAGACUAUACAGGUUACAUAAAGUAGACUAUGCAGGUUAUUUACCAGGAUUUGGAGUGUAGAUGAGUAGAUCUGUCAGGUGUGUUAGACAGUAGAGGGGUGUCACUACAUUCCUCAGUGUUUGUUUAUACUGUAAGCUUAUGGUGUCUGUCAGGAACGCCACACCAGACACACCCUUACGUAUUCUCUUGGCAGUUAGUCACGUUGUAAAAUCUGUGUCCUUGGUAACUCAAAGCAGAAUGAGAAAAAAACAACACAGUUAUUGGCGGCUUGAAAAAAUGUAUGUGUUGCGUAAGUUGUUUUCUAUGUCAGCUGAAUGCACCUUUAAGUUCAUUGAACCAUGGUUAUGUGAGUGUGAAUUUACGUUGUACGUAAAUUCCCCAUAUUAAUUCCCCUCCCCAUAUUUAAGUCAUUUAAUGGACAACAACACUUAGGCUUCUACUUACAACACUUAGGUUCCAGCUUAUACAUACUAUAUACAUACACAGUAUAUUUGACAAUCUUGUUCUAUUUGACAUAUAUUUAUCAACUGUGCUGUGAUGUUUCACAAAAGUUCCGAACCAAAAGUCAUACACCCAAUGUUUAUUUAGGUAUAUGUGGGUCUUUUAACAACAUCGGUCAUGCAUCUUGUUGACAUUCAUCCAAGGACAUCUCAACUUCAUUACAAAUCCUCAACAACAACAAAAAAUCCCGUGACUUGUACUUAGAGAGACCAUUCCUUUAAACGCAUCCUGAUACAAACAGGAAACAAGUUGUGGACGAACCAGAAACAUUUUACGAAGUGCAUCACCUUCCUCACUUUCCCCUCCUCUCAUCUCUCCCAUCCUUGUUAUUGUCUCACAAAUCCCUCCUGUCUCUCUUAUCACCCCUCUUGUGUCUCUAUGACCCCACUUGUCUCUCUAUCACCCCUUCUGGCUCCCCUAUCUCCCCUGCUCUCCCUCAUAUCACCCCUCAUGUACAUCCUAUCUCCUCUCCUGUCCCUCCUAUCACCCUUCCUCUCCCUCCUAUCACCAAUACUGUCUCUCCUAUCACCCCUCCUGUCCCUUCUAUCACCCUUCCUGUCCCUCCUAUCAAUCGUCCUAUCACCCCUCCUGUCC
Molecule: long non-coding RNA, 2859 nt
Organism: Oncorhynchus tshawytscha (Chinook salmon)
Lineage: Eukaryota; Metazoa; Chordata; Actinopteri; Salmoniformes; Salmonidae
Source: Ensembl